RNAcentral lists this ribosomal RNA (530 nucleotides) under Paecilomyces sp. PA93. Its description in RNAcentral is "LSU rRNA". It matches the Rfam family "Eukaryotic large subunit ribosomal RNA", at positions 96 to 644 of the family's 3401-position model. The record is from RNAcentral. Lineage: Eukaryota; Fungi; Ascomycota; Eurotiomycetes; Eurotiales; Thermoascaceae.
AAGCGGCAACAGCUCAAAUUUGAAAUCUGGCCCUCUGGGUCCGAGUUGUAAUUUGUAGAGGAUGCUUUUGGCGAGGUGCCUUCCGAGUUCCCUGGAACGGGACGCCAUAGAGGGUGAGAGCCCCGUCUGGUCGGACACCGAGCCUCUGUAAAGCUCCUUCGACGAGUCGAGUAGUUUGGGAAUGCUGCUCAAAAUGGGAGGUAUAUGUCUUCUAAAGCUAAAUAUUGGCCAGAGACCGAUAGCGCAGAAGUAGAGUGAUCGAAAGAUGAAAAGCACUUUGAAAAGAGGGUUAAAAAGUACGUGAAAUUGUUGAAAGGGAAGCGCCUAUGACCAGACUUGAGCCCGGUGGAAUCAUCCAGCGUUCUCGCGGGUGCACUUUGCCGGGCCCAGGCCGGGAUCAGUGUGGCGCGGGGGAUAAAGGUGACGGGGAAUGUGGCUCCAUCGGGAGUGUUAUAGCCCGCUGCGUAAGUACCAUGCGCCGGACUGAGAUACACCCAUUGCCAGGGAUGCUGGGGAUAAUGGUCCUCAGG